UCAUCGGAAGCAUAGUGGUCAGUAUCCCGCCUGUUACGUGGAAGACCCGGGUUCGAUUCCUCGCCGGGAA
This is a non-coding RNA of Dryococelus australis, 70 nucleotides long. The record is from the annotation of a GenBank genome assembly. NCBI's taxonomy places the organism in Eukaryota, Metazoa, Arthropoda, Insecta, Phasmatodea, Phasmatidae.